UCUGACACUGAGAACCUUUUCCUCUCUAUUUCAUACCAUUCUUUUGUUGUUGGUGAAGGAUAUUCUAACAUGAGACUACAUCCGGACUCUCUGACAGAACCCUCAUGGCCUUCUCAUACUAUAUCCUGGUGGUAAGUUUUUCUGACCGAGGUCCCCCAGUCUUCUGUUCUCUGUACAUGUGAACUAGCCUGUAACUUUUCCAUAGCCUGUGUUUAUUUUUUAGUGGCUCCACUUAGUAGAAAUCAUCUUGUGCCAUUCACCAUCUGGAGUACAGUAGUGAGCACAUUUGGAAUCCAGCAAAACUAUGAUUUAUCCCAUCCAGGAUUCUGAUCAGACAGACCUUAUCUUAGAACUGUUUAUCUUUUUAUUAUUGAGCCUUUGAUAUUGAUUUAUUUUUUAUUUUUGAAAGCAUGCAUCAUUAAGCCUUGUGGAUUUUGUUUUAAAAAAACUCAAUAAUUGAUUUUGCAAGAGUAGGUUGAACUUGUUUACUUGUUUAUUUAUUUACUUUUAAGGCCCUGCUUGGCAAAGCUUUUGGGGAGCUAGAAAGCAUUUUUUAGCUCUUCAAAAGCACUAUGGAUGAUUAUAGUGGUGUUUGGUAAAAAGUGUGAAAGCUGUUUUUUAACUUUGUCGGAAAGUACUUUCUAGCAAACAUUGGGAAGCUGUUUUUGCUUUAUGACAUCUGACUUUUUGACCAAAAUACCCAUGAAAAAAUACAUAAUUAUGGUUGUGUCCCUUUAAAACAUAGCGAAUGAAAAGAUCUUAUCGUGCGAACGGAGGAGGAGAUGGGGAAUAGUCUAAACAAUAUUAUAUAGGAUAUCCAAAAUUAUUUGAAAUAUAUGUAUUCGAUGAUCUUAGUGUUAUCUCAGUGGUCAUAUUGCUCUGUUUAUAAAUUGUGGGUCCAGGAUGCGUCGUGCCAUUGAUAUCCACUAGAUUUCACUCCAAGUGACAUAUCAGAGGGGGAACUGCCCCGUAGUUAUACACGGGUGCGACUCUUGGAUCAAACUCUUUUCUAUUUUGUUUUUUUUUUUGAAAGGAAAGAAUAUAUAUCGAGCAUUCAGAAAGUAUUUAUCAGGCUUAUUAAACUUGUGUAUCGCUCAUAUUAUGUUUAGAACCAAGGGCAAAAUCAUCCGAACCGUAAAAUAUGUAUAUAUUUGUAGAAAAAAUAAAAUAAAUAUAAUCCUUUUUGUAAAAUCAAUAAAUAAUUGGAUUUUAUGCAAAAUCUACUGGAAUUUCUGGGUUCAAUUAUGUUUUUCGGAGAAGAGGGGGUGGGUAUGAGGUUUAGGUAUGGCAAUUUAUGACUUGAUCUGCAACCGACCUCCUUUAAGUAGGUUCGAGUUUGGUAUAAAUGGGUUUGUGUCAUACUUGGGUCAAUGCGGGGCUUCUCACUCCAAUUCUAUGGUGGGAUUAUUGAAUGUACUGGAGGACCCAAGGUUGACUUUAUCAAAAGAAAAUAUCUAUCUGUUAGCUAGUGAGAAGGAAAGCGACUUUUCUAUCCUAUGAGUACUGCAGAGCAGUGUGUACCAAGUGUCGAUCUUCAACAUUGGUACACUAGGGCGCCAAGGCUCUUCUUUUUGAAGGGAGGGGAGAUACCUCUGUGCUAGGUUCGUGCGAUGUAAUAAUUCAAGACCUUACCUAAAAGAGCUACAUAGAAAUAUUUAAUUGAUUACCUAGAAAUAUUUAAUUGGAGUCCUUGAUCCAGCUUAAAUAAUUUUGAUGAUACAUAUCCAAUACGGAAAUAAACACAUGCUCGCAUAGAUUCUCAUAUGCUCUAUAAUGAUUGAGGGCAUGAUCUUCUUGCUGAAAGAAGGUGACUUGCUCUGGUUCCACCCAUGGAAUUGGCUGUGGCGCAGAAAGGUUGUCUAAAGGGCAGCUGGCAGCUUCUUCAGGCCACGGUGAUUGCUUGGAUUUAAUGCAAGCACUUUCCUUCUGCCAGUUCUGUUGCCUGGCAACAUCACCUUAUCCUUUUCCAACAUUUAGGCUUUGUCGGAUGUCACUAGAUUCUUUUCAUUGCCUCGGUACUCUUUUGGGGAAUCAGGUAGCCGUCUGGCUGAUAGGAUAAGCUACUGAAAAUAGAAUUGAUGCUGUCUCUUUGUUCUCGCAGGUGUGUCUUUCAUGAGAUGUAUUUAACUGGAUCUGACCUCCUUCACCAUUGAAAAAAAAAAAGAGAAAGAAAAAGAAAGAAAAAAAAGUAGAAAACAAGCAUCCAUGUAAUUAGGAAAAAGAGCUAGUUGAGAAGAAAUGCCCUGCAGAGAAUUACCAGGUACAGGACAAAUUCUCUUCGGCAACAGCACUGAUCAUCAAAAUUGAACAGCUUGUGCUGGCUUAAGAAGAUUUUCUUUUCUUUUUUUUUGGUAAACUUGCUCAAGUUUAGAUAGAUGUACAAGCGGGCCGUGUUGAUAUUUGAUCAACUUGUGAUGGCUUGAGAAGUUUUUUUUUUGGUAAACUUGCUCGAGUUUAGAUGGAUGUACAAGCAGGCUAUGUUGAUAUUUAAUCAGCUGCUCAGAAGGAUAUACAUGUUAAGCUUGUCUAGAACCCGAGACCAACUCAAGCAGUUCCUUUAUAUAUCGAGCCAAGUUUGAGCAGCAUGAUACUCAACUAUGCUCAUUUGCACCCCUAAUUUUUAUAUACUGGAUACAAUGUUUACCUGCUAAUGGACAUUCUACCACUGAAAUGAGAUCUGACAGGAAAUAUGAACCCCAUGCGUAUGUGAGAAAGCCUUACAGGACUUCAGACCCUGGCCUACCCCUCAAGGAGCUCUUCUUGAGCAGCCAAGCAUGGCCUAGCCUGCCCACGCCCUGAAGCACAAGCCAUGGAACAGGAUGGCCAAGGGAAUAUGUAUAACUGGUAUAGGGAAAAUGGUCCUCAGAUACGGCGGCUUUAUGAAUCUUAUGUAAUCAAUGUAUAUGGAACUAUCUGAUGGUCUUGAUUCCAAUAAAACAAAAGUAUGAAUGAAUAUUCUAAGACAUAACCU
Non-coding RNA from Phoenix dactylifera (date palm), 2971 nucleotides. NCBI's taxonomy places the organism in Eukaryota, Viridiplantae, Streptophyta, Magnoliopsida, Arecales, Arecaceae. The record is from RefSeq and is a predicted model, not a curated record.